GACAGAGGGUGCAAACGUUGUUCGGAAUUACUGGGCGUAAAGGGCGCGUAGGCGGCCUGGCAAGUGGAAGGUGAAAUCCCUCGGCUUAACCGAGGAACUGCCUCCCAAACUGCUUGGCUUGAGACCGGGAGAGGUGAGUGGAAUUCCCAGUGUAGCGGUGAAAUGCGUAGAUAUUGGGAGGAACACCAGUGGCGAAGGCGGCUCACUGGACCGGUACUGACGCUGAUGCGCGAAAGCCAGGGGAGCAAACGGG
RNAcentral lists this ribosomal RNA (253 nucleotides) under uncultured bacterium. RNAcentral describes it as "partial 16S ribosomal RNA". It matches the Rfam family "Bacterial small subunit ribosomal RNA", at positions 524 to 776 of the family's 1533-position model. The record is from RNAcentral.